Molecule: ribosomal RNA, 443 nt
Filed under: uncultured bacterium
Lineage: Bacteria
Description: partial 16S ribosomal RNA
Rfam family: Bacterial small subunit ribosomal RNA
Source: RNAcentral
CCUACGGGAGGCAGCAGUGGGGAAUAUUGGGCAAUGGGCGCAAGCCUGACCCAGCAACGCCGCGUGAAGGAAGAAGGCUCUCGGGUUGUAAACUUCUUUUGUCAGGGACGAAGAAAGUGACGGUACCUGACGAAUAAGCCACGGCUAACUACGUGCCAGCAGCCGCGGUAAUACGUAGGUGGCAAGCGUUAUCCGGAUUUACUGGGUGUAAAGGGCGUGUAGGCGGGACUGCAAGUCAGAUGUGAAAUUCCAGGGCUCAACCCUGGGCCUGCAUUUGAAACUGUAGUUCUUGAGUGCUGGAGAGGCAGGCGGAAUUCCGUGUGUAGCGGUGAAAUGCGUAGAUAUACGGAGGAACACCAGUGGCGAAGGCGGCCUGCUGGACAGUAACUGACGCUGAGGCGCGAAAGCGUGGGGAGCAAACAGGAUUAGAUACCCGAGUAGUC